GAUAAGAACGUAGUGAAAUGCGAUACUUGGUGUGAAUUGCAGAAUCCCGUGAACCAUCGAGUCUUUGAACGCAAGUUGCGCCCGAAGCCAUUAGGCCGAGGGCACGCCUGCCUGGGCGUCACACGUCGUUGCCCCCCCAUCUACUCCUUCGGGAUUGCGGGGGGCGGAUGAUGGCCUCCCGUGCGCCUCGCCGCGCGGUUGGCAUAAAUGCCAAGUCCUCGGCGACGCACGCCACGACAAUCGGUGGUUGCGAAACCUCGGUUGCCCGUCGUGUGCGGUCGUCGCGCAUCGAGGGCUCGAAAAAAUUGCCGGGUUCCGGCUCGGCUUUCAACGCGACCCCAGGUCAGGCGGGGUUACCCGCUGAAUUUAAGCAUAUCAAUAAGCGGAGGA
RNAcentral lists this unclassified non-coding RNA (390 nucleotides) under soil metagenome. RNAcentral's name for it is "partial contains 5.8S ribosomal RNA, internal transcribed spacer 2, and large subunit ribosomal RNA". The stretch from base 4 to 121 matches the Rfam family "5.8S ribosomal RNA", at positions 39 to 154 of the family's 154-position model. The record is from RNAcentral.